This 748-nucleotide ribosomal RNA is filed under the name Menetus dilatatus. RNAcentral's name for it is "eukaryotic LSU rRNA". It matches the Rfam family "Eukaryotic large subunit ribosomal RNA", at positions 402 to 961 of the family's 3401-position model. The record is from RNAcentral. Lineage: Eukaryota; Metazoa; Mollusca; Gastropoda; Planorbidae.
AAACCGCUCAGAGGUAAACGGGUGGUUCCGCAAAAGUCAGCCCGUGGAAUUCAGCGCGGCGCUCGGCCUGGGGCUGCUGCGGGUCGGGAUCCCUCGGACCCACCUGCGGCGUCGCACUGGGCCUCGCUGCGUGCACUUUCCAUGGGCAGAGCGCUACGAUCGGUUUCUCGGCGGCGAUUAGCCCCUCCGCUUCGCGUGGCACGGCCUUCGGGUCGUGCCUCGGGCGGUGGUGGUGAGCUGCUGGGGGACCGAGGAACGGCCGUUCGCUUCGAGGCUGCUCGGCCUCGCGGAGGAGUUCGACUGGCGGGGACUGGGCAACCGUGCCCGCCGACCGCUCUUCUGUGUUGGUUCGGGCUCGCCGGGCGAGCAUGGGGUCAGUGGCGAGUCUGUCGGCCUACCACCCGACCCGUCUUGAAACACGGACCAAGGAGUCUAACAUGCGCGCGAGUCAUUGGGCUGUACGAAACCCAAAGGCGCAGUGAAAGCGAGGGUCGCCCCGGGCUGACCCAGGUGGGAUCCUUUUGCUCCGUGCAGGAGGCGCACCACCGGCCCGUCCCGUCUGCGUCGUCAGUGGGGCGGAGCUAGAGCGCGCACGCUGGGACCCGAAAGAUGGUGAACUAUGCCUGAGUAGAACGAAGCCAGAGGAAACUCUGGUGGAAGUCCGUAGCGAUUCUGACGUGCAAAUCGAUCGUCAAACUUUGGUAUAGGGGCGAAAGACUAAUCGAACCAUUUAGUAGCUGGUUCCCUC